This 29-nucleotide non-coding RNA is filed under the name Homo sapiens (human). Lineage: Eukaryota; Metazoa; Chordata; Mammalia; Primates; Hominidae. The record is from RNAcentral.
UGGACAGUGACCACCAGGCUUAGAAGGUC